This is a small RNA of Ophiophagus hannah (king cobra), 76 nucleotides long. It matches the Rfam family "bZIP non canonical Hac1/Xbp1 intron". Rfam says of the family: bZIP intron RNA is a non-canonical intron that was first reported in HAC1 gene in yeast and XBP1 gene in Metazoa. The record is from Rfam. Lineage: Eukaryota; Metazoa; Chordata; Lepidosauria; Squamata; Elapidae.
AGAGACCGGGUCCUCUGAGUCCGCAGCACUUAGACUACGUGUUCCUCCGCAGCAGGGACAGGCCCAGCAGUCUUCU